UACGUAGGGGGCAAGCGUUGUCCGGAAUUAUUGGGCGUAAAGAGCGCGUAGGCGGUCCGAUAAGUCGGCUGUGAAAGUCAGGGGCUCAACCCUUGAAAGCCGGCCGAUACUGUCGGACUAGAGUCCGGAAGAGGCAAGUGGAAUUCUUGGUGUAGCGGUGAAAUGCGUAGAUAUCAAGAGGAACACCUGCGGCGAAGGCGGCAUCCUGGACCGACACUGACGCUGAGGCGCGAAAGCUAGGGUAGCAAACGGG
Molecule: ribosomal RNA, 253 nt
Filed under: uncultured bacterium
Lineage: Bacteria
Description: partial 16S ribosomal RNA
Rfam family: Bacterial small subunit ribosomal RNA
Source: RNAcentral